This 339-nucleotide ribosomal RNA is filed under the name Staphylococcus aureus. Its description in RNAcentral is "partial 23S ribosomal RNA". It matches the Rfam family "Bacterial large subunit ribosomal RNA", at positions 1603 to 1943 of the family's 2925-position model. The record is from RNAcentral. Lineage: Bacteria; Bacillati; Bacillota; Bacilli; Caryophanales; Staphylococcaceae.
CACUGCCGAGAAAAGCCUCUAGAUAGAAAAUAGGUGCCCGUACCGCAAACCGACACAGGUAGUCAAGAUGAGAAUUCUAAGGUGAGCGAGCGAACUCUCGUUAAGGAACUCGGCAAAAUGACCCCGUAACUUCGGGAGAAGGGGUGCUCUUUAGGGUUAACGCCCAGAAGAGCCGCAGUGAAUAGGCCCAAGCGACUGUUUAUCAAAAACACAGGUCUCUGCUAAACCGUAAGGUGAUGUAUAGGGGCUGACGCCUGCCCGGUGCUGGAAGGUUAAGAGGAGUGGUUAGCUUCUGCGAAGCUACGAAUCGAAGCCCCAGUAAACGGCGGCCGUAACUAU